RNAcentral lists this ribosomal RNA (339 nucleotides) under Boletinus cavipes. RNAcentral describes it as "partial large subunit ribosomal RNA". Lineage: Eukaryota; Fungi; Basidiomycota; Agaricomycetes; Boletales; Gyrodontaceae. The record is from RNAcentral.
AAUAAAAUGGGAGAGCUGAUUGAUUGGCAGUUUGACUGGGGCGGUCGUCUUUAAUAGAGUAGCAAAGUACAUCCAAAUAUAAAAUUAAUUAUAAAAUAUUUACCGUUAAUAAUAUUAAUGUGUAAAUAUUCUCACAAAUAUCAUAUUGCUGUAAAUUUUUAAUUUACUUUAACAUCAAUUUAUUUUUUUGUUUUUAUAAGGUAUAGCUAGAAAUUGAAUGGAGAUCAAUUAACCAGUGAUAAGGUUAUGGAGGGCGCAAUGGCGGUAAGCAUGCUUAACUGAUAGACUUAAAAGUCGCACAGAUACGUAAGUAGGGCAUAGUGACCCCUCGCUAUAUUA